GCCGAAGUGGCGGAAUUGGUAGACGCGCUAGGUUCAGGGUCUAGUGGGAGUCCUCCCGUGGGAGUUCAAGUCUCCCCUUCGGCACCA
RNAcentral lists this transfer RNA (87 nucleotides) under Desulfococcus sp. 4484_241. Its description in RNAcentral is "tRNA-Leu". It matches the Rfam family "tRNA". Rfam says of the family: Transfer RNA (tRNA) molecules are approximately 80 nucleotides in length. Their secondary structure includes four short double-helical elements and three loops (D, anti-codon, and T loops). RNAcentral also lists the same sequence under 1 other name. Lineage: Bacteria; Pseudomonadati; Thermodesulfobacteriota; Desulfobacteria; Desulfobacterales; Desulfococcaceae. The record is from RNAcentral.